This 253-nucleotide ribosomal RNA is filed under the name uncultured bacterium. RNAcentral describes it as "partial 16S ribosomal RNA". It matches the Rfam family "Bacterial small subunit ribosomal RNA", at positions 524 to 776 of the family's 1533-position model. The record is from RNAcentral.
UACGUAGGGGGCGAGCGUUGUCCGGAUUUAUUGGGCGUAAAGCGCAUGCAGGCGGUCCUGUAAGUUUGAAGUGACAGUUUCCGGCUCAACCGGGAAAGUGCUUUGAAAACUGCGGGACUUGAGGGCUUCAGAGGGACACGGAAUUCCGGGUGGAGUGGUGAAAUGCGCAGAUAUCGGGAGGAACACCGGUGGCGAAGGCGGUUCUCUGGGCCUGACCUGACGCUGAGGAGCGAAAGCGUGGGGAGCGAACAGG